Molecule: ribosomal RNA, 313 nt
Filed under: uncultured bacterium
Lineage: Bacteria
Description: bacterial SSU rRNA
Rfam family: Bacterial small subunit ribosomal RNA
Source: RNAcentral
AGUAAAUAGAUACCCGGGUAGUCCACGCCGUAAACGAUGAGUACUAGGUGUAGGAGGUAUCGACUCCUUCUGUGCCGCAGUUAAACACAAUAAGUACUCCGCCUGGGAAGUACGGUCGCAAGAUUAAAACUCAAAGGAAUUGACGGGGCCCGCACAAGCAGCGGAGCAUGUGGUUUAAAAUUUACGAAGCAGCGCGAAGAAACCUUACCCUAGACUUGACAUCUCCUGAAUAGUGUAGAGAUACAUGAAGCCCUUCGGGUCGAGGAAGGACAGGUGGUGCAUGGUUGGUCGUCAGCUCGUGUCGUGAGAUGUU